Molecule: unclassified non-coding RNA, 311 nt
Filed under: fungal sp.
Lineage: Eukaryota; Fungi
Description: partial internal transcribed spacer region
Rfam family: Eukaryotic small subunit ribosomal RNA (bases 1-46)
Source: RNAcentral
AAGUCGUAACAAGGUUUCCGUAGGUGAACCUGCGGAAGGAUCAUUAACACGUAUCCAACGUUAAACAACCCUGUGAACUUUCAGCGCUCUUGUAGCCCCAGGAACAGCAAUCCCGGUAAAUCAAAUGGCGGAAAGUGCAGAAGGAUCCACUGAGUAAGGAUAACGCAUCACGGUUGCCAGAGGUCGAUCACCGGCCGGCAGACAUGUCACAGGGCUUUACGCCCCUUCAUUCACCCCUUGCCUAAUCAAGCCUCGCGGAAACGCCGGGCAUAAAAACCGAACAACUGUUAACAAUGGAUAUCUUGGUUCUC